This 203-nucleotide ribosomal RNA is filed under the name uncultured eukaryote. Its description in RNAcentral is "partial 18S ribosomal RNA". It matches the Rfam family "Eukaryotic small subunit ribosomal RNA", at positions 1299 to 1458 of the family's 1831-position model. The record is from RNAcentral.
UGGUGGAGUGAUUUGUCUGGUUAAUUCCGUUAACGAACGAGACGUCUUUCUGCUAAAUAGCAAUACUCAGCUCCUAAUGGGUGAAGCUCUUGGACGGAUCUGGUCGGCUUGCUGGCUGGGCCUCUGGGGUGGAUCCCUGGUGACUGUUUAAAACUUCUUAGAGAGACUAGUGGGGUAUACCCACUGGAAGUGACGCAAUAACA